Molecule: ribosomal RNA, 490 nt
Filed under: uncultured bacterium
Lineage: Bacteria
Description: bacterial SSU rRNA
Rfam family: Bacterial small subunit ribosomal RNA
Source: RNAcentral
AACUAACGCUGGCGGCGUGCCUAACACAUGCAAGUCGUACGAGAAAGUUGGCUUCGGCCGAUGAGUAAAGUGGCGCACGGGUGAGUAAUGCGUGGAUAAUCUGCCCUUUAGUUGGGAAUAACGUACCGAAAGGUGCGCUAAUACCUGAUAAUACUGCAUAACUACUGUUGUGUAGUCAAAGAAGGCCUCUGUUUACGAGCUUUUGCUGAAGGAUGAGUCCGCGUACCAUUAGCUGGUUGGUGGGGUAAUGGCCUACCAAGGCUACGAUGGUUAGCUGGUCUGAGAGGAUGAUCAGCCACACUGGAACUGAGACACGGUCCAGACUCCUACGGGAGGCAGCAGUGAGGAAUAUUGCGCAAUGGGGGCAACCCUGACGCAGCAACGCCGCGUGAGUGAGGAAGGUUUUCGGACCGUAAAGCUCUGUCGAGCGGGAAGAAAUGUAUCAUGGCUAAUAUCCAUGAUACUUGACGGUACCGCUAAAGGAAGACCG